RNAcentral lists this transfer RNA (73 nucleotides) under Singulisphaera sp. RNAcentral's name for it is "tRNA-Val". It matches the Rfam family "tRNA". Rfam says of the family: Transfer RNA (tRNA) molecules are approximately 80 nucleotides in length. Their secondary structure includes four short double-helical elements and three loops (D, anti-codon, and T loops). Lineage: Bacteria; Pseudomonadati; Planctomycetota; Planctomycetia; Isosphaerales; Isosphaeraceae. RNAcentral also lists the same sequence under 1 other name. The record is from RNAcentral.
GGGCGAUUAGCUCAGUUGGUAGAGCGUCUGCUUUACACGCAGAAAGUCGCAGGUUCGAGUCCUGCAUCGCCCA